GACGAACGCUUGCGGCGUGCUUAACACAUGCAAGUCGAACGGAAAGGCCCUGCUUUUGUGGGGUGCUCGAGUGGCGAACGGGUGAGUAACACGUGAGUAACCUGCCCUUGACUUUGGGAUAACUUCAGGAAACUGGGGCUAAUACCGGAUAGGAGCUCCUGCUGCAUGGUGGGGGUUGGAAAGUUUCGGCGGUUGGGGAUGGACUCGCGGCUUAUCAGCUUGUUGGUGGGGUAGUGGCUUACCAAGGCUUUGACGGGUAGCCGGCCUGAGAGGGUGACCGGCCACAUUGGGACUGAGAUACGGCCCAGACUCCUACGGGAGGCAGCAGUGGGGAAUAUUGCACAAUGGGCGGAAGCCUGAUGCAGCAACGCCGCGUGCGGGAUGACGGCCUUCGGGUUGUAAACCGCUUUCGCCUGUGACGAAGCGUGAGUGACGGUAAUGGGUAAAGAAGCACCGGCUAACUACGUGCCAGCAGCCGCGGUGAUACGUAGGGUGCGAGCGUUGUCCGGAUUUAUUGGGCGUAAAGGGCUCGUAGGUGGUUGAUCGCGUCGGAAGUGUAAUCUUGGGGCUUAACCCUGAGCGUGCUUUCGAUACGGGUUGACUUGAGGAAGGUAGGGGAGAAUGGAAUUCCUGGUGGAGCGGUGGAAUGCGCAGAUAUCAGGAGGAACACCAGUGGCGAAGGCGGUUCUCUGGGCCUUUCCUGACGCUGAGGAGCGAAAGCGUGGGGAGCGAACAGGCUUAGAUACCCUGGUAGUCCACGCUGUAAACGGUGGGUACUAGGUGUGGGGUCCAUUCCACGGGUUCCGUGCCGUAGCUAACGCUUUAAGUACCCCGCCUGGGGAGUACGGCCGCAAGGCUAAAACUCAAAGGAAUUGACGGGGCCCCGCACAAGCGGCGGAGCAUGCGGAUUAAUUCGAUGCAACGCGUAGAACCUUACCUGGGUUUGACAUGGAUCGGGAGUGCUCAGAGAUGGGUGUGCCUCUUUUGGGGUCGGUUCACAGGUGGUGCAUGGCUGUCGUCAGCUCGUGUCGUGAGAUGUUGGGUUAAGUCCCGCAACGAGCGCAACCCUUGUUCACUGUUGCCAGCACGUUAUGGUGGGGACUCAGUGGAGACCGCCGGGGUCAACUCGGGGGAAGGUGGGGAUGACGUCAAGUCAUCAUGCCCCUUAUGUCCAGGGCUUCACGCAUGCUACAAUGGCUGGUACAGAGAGUGGCGAGCCUGUGAGGGUGAGCGAAUCUCGGAAAGCCGGUCUCAGUUCGGAUUGGGGUCUGCAACUCGACCUCAUGAAGUCGGAGUCGCUAGUAAUCGCAGAUCAGCAACGCUGCGGUGAAUACGUUCCCGGG
This 1343-nucleotide ribosomal RNA is filed under the name uncultured bacterium. RNAcentral's name for it is "16S ribosomal RNA". It matches the Rfam family "Bacterial small subunit ribosomal RNA", at positions 28 to 1378 of the family's 1533-position model. The record is from RNAcentral.